This 250-nucleotide ribosomal RNA is filed under the name uncultured archaeon. Its description in RNAcentral is "partial 16S ribosomal RNA". It matches the Rfam family "Archaeal small subunit ribosomal RNA", at positions 474 to 723 of the family's 1478-position model. The record is from RNAcentral.
CACCAGCGCCACGAGUGGCUAUCACGAUUAUUGGGCCUAAAGCGUCCGUAGUCGGUUCUGUACAUCUUCUGUGAAAUCGUUGCGCUUAACGUAACGGCACGCGGAAGACACGGCAGAGCUUGAGAGCGGGAGGCGUGAAGGGUACUCCGGGGGGACCGGUAAAAUGGUAUAAUCCCCGGAAGACCACCUGUGGCGAAGGCGCUUCACGAGAACGCAUCUGACGAUGAGGGACGAAAGCCAGGGGAGCAAA